Molecule: ribosomal RNA, 254 nt
Filed under: uncultured bacterium
Lineage: Bacteria
Description: partial 16S ribosomal RNA
Rfam family: Bacterial small subunit ribosomal RNA
Source: RNAcentral
CACGUAGGCACCAAGCGUUGUCCGGAUUUAUUGGGCGUAAAGAGCUCGUAGGCGGUUUAGUAAGUCGGGUGUGAAAACUCAGGGCUCAACCCUGAGCUGCCACCCGAUACUGCUGUGACUUGAGUCUGGUAGGGGAGUGGGGAAUUCCUGGUGUAGCGGUGAAAUGCGCAGAUAUCAGGAGGAACACCGGUGGCGAAGGCGCCACUCUGGGCCACGACUGACGCUGAGGAGCGAAAGCAUGGGUAGCAAACAGG